This 72-nucleotide transfer RNA is filed under the name Cucumis melo (muskmelon). It matches the Rfam family "tRNA". From Rfam's summary of the family: Transfer RNA (tRNA) molecules are approximately 80 nucleotides in length. Their secondary structure includes four short double-helical elements and three loops (D, anti-codon, and T loops). RNAcentral also lists the same sequence under 1 other name. The record is from Rfam by way of RNAcentral. Lineage: Eukaryota; Viridiplantae; Streptophyta; Magnoliopsida; Cucurbitales; Cucurbitaceae.
GCGAAAAUAGCUUAAUGGUAGAACAUAACCGUACAAAGGCUGAGGUUGAGGGUUCAAGUCCCUCCUUCCGCU